RNAcentral lists this ribosomal RNA (680 nucleotides) under Micromonospora chersina. Its description in RNAcentral is "bacterial SSU rRNA". It matches the Rfam family "Bacterial small subunit ribosomal RNA", at positions 97 to 792 of the family's 1533-position model. Lineage: Bacteria; Bacillati; Actinomycetota; Actinomycetes; Micromonosporales; Micromonosporaceae. The record is from RNAcentral.
GGCGAACGGGUGAGUAACACGUGAGCAACCUGCCCUAGGCUUUGGGAUAACCCCGGGAAACCGGGGCUAAUACCGAAUAGGACCUGGCCUCGCAUGAGGCUGGGUGGAAAGUUUUUCGGCCUGGGAUGGGCUCGCGGCCUAUCAGCUUGUUGGUGGGGUGAUGGCCUACCAAGGCGACGACGGGUAGCCGGCCUGAGAGGGCGACCGGCCACACUGGGACUGAGACACGGCCCAGACUCCUACGGGAGGCAGCAGUGGGGAAUAUUGCACAAUGGGCGGAAGCCUGAUGCAGCGACGCCGCGUGAGGGAUGACGGCCUUCGGGUUGUAAACCUCUUUCAGCAGGGACGAAGCGUAAGUGACGGUACCUGCAGAAGAAGCGCCGGCCAACUACGUGCCAGCAGCCGCGGUAAGACGUAGGGCGCGAGCGUUGUCCGGAUUUAUUGGGCGUAAAGAGCUCGUAGGCGGCUUGUCGCGUCGACUGUGAAAACCCGCAGCUCAACUGCGGGCCUGCAGUCGAUACGGGCAGGCUAGAGUUCGGUAGGGGAGACUGGAAUUCCUGGUGUAGCGGUGAAAUGCGCAGAUAUCAGGAGGAACACCGGUGGCGAAGGCGGGUCUCUGGGCCGAUACUGACGCUGAGGAGCGAAAGCGUGGGGAGCGAACAGGAUUAGAUACCCUGGUA